GCUACAAAUGGCUGUUAUUCGUAUACAAGAGUUAAUAUAUCUAUAUCGGGUUUUCGAAGAAUUACCACAAUUCUUUUGCAACAGCCUAUAGUACCAUUCACUGAUAUCGACACAGGCCUCUACUUUGAGCGUGUAACGGACAUCAAUGAUACUGCAGUGAAUCAUCCCCGUAGGUGAUAUGGCAGGAACGUCUAUUGGAAUUGCAUAAGUCUCAAUUCCAGGAUCAAUCGGCUGUAUUAUCUCAACGAUGAUCUCCUUAUGCUUGCGAGUCUUCUCAGUCGCGUGAUAACUGACGACCUACCGGUGAUCAACAGUUAAGUCCCUAUGACCUUCAUACAAAUUUGGACGCCAUAUUGUCUUCGAGACGUCACUUUUGGGUAUAAAUGAUAAAAAAAAAUUUUUGAUUAUACCUUUUUCAAAACUGUCCGCAUCUUCUUGACUCCCACCUGGGACGUGUUUUUUACUGCUACGUCCACCGGGAUGACCUGACCAGGUUUCUCGAAGUGGCAGCUAAAAUGGACAGAGGACUGGAUGUAAAUGCAUUACACCGAUACGGAUUCAGCACUUACCGGAGCCACUGGGUCGCGAUUCAGAUUCAAUAUGGAUGCGACUGUGAACGGUAGGAU
This is a long non-coding RNA of Cephus cinctus (wheat stem sawfly), 626 nucleotides long. RefSeq lists it as uncharacterized. NCBI's taxonomy places the organism in Eukaryota, Metazoa, Arthropoda, Insecta, Hymenoptera, Cephidae. The record is from RefSeq and is a predicted model, not a curated record. The transcript has 3 exons.